GGUCGCGUUUAUCCUUCUUACCAGCGCGUUUUCAGUUUCAAAGGGAAGCCUCUCCAUGAAACUGGAGCGCCUGGAGGAGAAGGGGGCC
Non-coding RNA from Macaca mulatta (Rhesus monkey), 88 nucleotides. The record is from Rfam. Lineage: Eukaryota; Metazoa; Chordata; Mammalia; Primates; Cercopithecidae.